Molecule: ribosomal RNA, 459 nt
Filed under: uncultured bacterium
Lineage: Bacteria
Description: partial 16S ribosomal RNA
Rfam family: Bacterial small subunit ribosomal RNA
Source: RNAcentral
CCUACGGGAGGCAGCAGUGAGGAAUAUUGGUCAAUGGGCGAGAGCCUGAACCAGCAAAGUCGCGUGAGGGAAGACGGUCCUAUGGAUUGUAAACCUCUUUUGCCGGGGAGCAAAAAGCGGUACGUGUACCGCAUCGAGAGUACCCGGAGCAAACGCAUCGGCUAACUCCGUGCCAGCAGCGGCGGUAAUACGGGGGAUGCGAGCGUUAUCCGGAUUUAUUGGGUUUAAGGGGGGCGCAGGCGGCGAGUUAAGUCAGCGGUAAAAUUUCGGGGCUCAACCCCGACGAGCCGUUGAAACUGGCUGGCUAGAGUGGGCGAGAGGAAUGUGGAAGUCGAGGUGUAGCGGUGAAAUGCAUAGAUAUCACGCAGAACUCCGAUUGCGAAGGCAGCAGACCGGCGCCCAACUGACGCUCAGGCACGAAAGCGUGGGUAUCGAACAGGAUUAGAUACCCGAGUAGUC